This 505-nucleotide ribosomal RNA is filed under the name uncultured bacterium. RNAcentral's name for it is "partial 16S ribosomal RNA". It matches the Rfam family "Bacterial small subunit ribosomal RNA", at positions 28 to 507 of the family's 1533-position model. The record is from RNAcentral.
GACGAACGCUGGCGGCGUGCCUAAUACAUGCAAGUAGAACGCACAGUUUAUACCGUAGCUUGAUACACCAUAGACUGUGAGUUGCGAACGGGUGAGUCACGCGUAGGUAAACUGCCUGGUAGCGGGGGAUAACUAUUAGAAACGAUAGCUAAUACCGCAUAAUAUUAAUUAUUGCAUGAUAAUUAAUUGAAAGGUGCAAUUGCACCACUACCAGAUGGACCUGCGUUGUAUUAGCUAGUAGGUGAGGUAACGGCUCACCUAGGCGACGAUACAUAGCCGACCUGAGAGGGUGAUCUGCCACACUGGGACUGAGACACGGCCCAGACUCCUACGGGAGGCAGCAGUAGGGAAUCUUCGGCAAUGGACGAAAGUCUGACCGAGCAACGCCGCGUGAGUGAAGAAGGUUUUCGGAUCGUAAAGCUCUGUUGUAAGAGAAGAACGGGUGUGAGAGUGGAAAGUUCACACUGUGACGGUAUCUUACCAGAAAGAGACGGCUAACUACGUG